CAUGUUCGUACAUACGAAUACGAUAGUUCGAAAAAAAUCGUAAAUUUCAUUACGUCGUUAUAUUAUCAUGUAGUAUCGAUCGUACCGUUUAGAACCCCGGUCUCUCUCUUUUCUUUCUAAUAUCCAUCCUUCAUUCGAUUCUUCUUCAAAGAAUCCCACCAAUCCCAAAGUUCUGUCUUACGAAGCAGGCGCUGUAAUGAUCGAUCGGCGGAGGCGGCGGCGGUUUUACUUUCCUUUAGCGGCCAAUUCCGACAAUUGGCCACGUACACAUUAGUAUGCUCAACAACACAGCUGAAGUCAGGAUAUUGUAAACAUUCUGUCACUAAAAGAGGAAAGGAUUUAUGAGAAAGAAAAAAGGAACAAACAAAAGAAAAGAAAAGAAAAGAAAAGAAAAGAAAAGAAGAAACAAAAAAGAAAAGAAAAAAAAGAAAAAAGAAACGCAUUUAUAUAUAAAAGAAGAAAAGUUUAUAAUAUAAAAAUAUAAAAACAUGCUUACAGUCAAUACCAGGCCAAAAGAAUUGAUUACAGAGACUGUUGAUCGCUGGAAUAUGUUGUGGUCUAAUAUAAGAAUAAUCAAUUGGUGCUCUUGUCAAUGGUUUCCAAGAUGAAUUAUUUUUAUUAACUUUAGCACAAAGUUCUUCCAUCACAGUUAACCAUAAUGGUCGACUAGAGGUAUCUCUUCUUAUAAAUGGCUUUAAAAGUCUAUUUGUAUAUGGACUAACGACAGAUGUUGCUUCAUUAUACCCUUGUAAUCUUUGUUCAAAAACAUAUCCUAUGUCAUCUCCAAAAAAUCUAUCUAGGACUCUAUCGCAUUCCUUGAAAUGUCUCUUAGAUACUUCUUUAGAUCCAAAAUGAUCUAUAUCUAACAAAGAAGGAAAAGCAGAAUACAGAUGGCGUUUAUUAACCCUUUGUAAGAGAUAUGCUUCUUCUUGAUGCGUCAUAAUAGGUAUCUUCUCAUCUAACGAAUAAUAUUAAUCGAGCAAUGUAAAACAAUUUCUAAAAUAACAAUAUUGAAGGAUGUUCUAGCUAUUUGAAGCAUAUUAAUAAUAAUAAGUUACGAAAAUAUUAAUAAAAUUCUCAAAAAUUAUUCAUAUAGUAAUUAAAUAUCAUCUGUCACUUACUGUUAACGAUCGAUCUUUGCCAAGGCCAUUUAUCUCGUUUUGUAGCUUGAAAUAAAGAAGCUGGAGGUGGUUGCUCUUGAGCAAUACUAUCGUUACUUUCUUCUGCAUAUUGAUCUUCUUCUCUUUUAAUUUUAUUAUCAGUGAUAUCAUUUAUUGACUCUUCUGUUAUCUCUGUAUUGUUAGACCAUUCAGAUGUAAAAUUAUCAAACAGUCGAGGAAAAUUAAAAUUAGAAUUUUGAUAUUGACAAUCUGCCAAUAGUUCUGACAAAGAAAGAGUGUCCUGGUGAUCACGUAGGAUUAAAUCAUCUUCCAUAUCCAUAUCUAAAAUAUUUAAAGGUUAUAUAAUUUCAUUUUAUUUAUUUUUCUUAAAUUCCUAUUUACCAUUUAAUUCAUCUUCCUCCAAUAAGAGGUCAGACAAUGUUUCCGUUGGUUGUACAUAAGCUUGCGAAUACAUUGAUGGCCCUUGAUUUUUUACUGCUUCUGUUCCGUAAUUGCUAUCUUCUCCAACUGAAAUACUUGAUUCGGACGGCGUCGGACUAAUGUAUGAUUUAACCGAUGACUUUUGUUGAUUACCAUUUUGUUUUUUACGAUCCAUUAUCAUCUUUCCGUCUGUUACAAAAUAAAUACAAUAUAAUAAACUAUAAACAUUACAAUUUAAUAUGUAUAUUAACAAAAGUAAAAUGUAAAAUCAUCUAUCAGAAUGUUCUAUCUGUUCGGCGGACAAUUAAUUUACUUAAAAACAGGCAGAACUUUUUGGUAGAUCUAAUAUAUAAUUUAUCAAUGAUCAAUAAUACUUUUAGCAAUCAGAACUUCUGGCGGAUCAUUAUCUAUUAGUCUCCACCAACCAGAUUCUCCUAAUUCAACUGUUCCUGAUUUAAAAAAGAUCCCACUAUAAUGUGACAGUGUUCCAGAAAUUGUACCAAUCCAAUUCUUUUUUCUUUUGCUAAAUAAAUCAGAUUAGCUACGAUAAAUAAAUAAAUUUUAUAAAGUAAAUAAGUUAGAUUAGAUGUGACAGUUAAACUAAUUAUCAUAGGUUGGCUAGAAUUAAAAGUAAAUUAAGUUACCUACACAGUUUUCUUAAAUAAAUGAUCCCAAUUACGAUCUACAAAAGUACUAAUGUCUGACUUCCAAUGGAAAUAUCCCCUUUUACUUAUUCCACUGGAUUUUUCUCUUAAGUUGUACAAAGUUAAUACAAUUACAUUAAGCCAUGGCAUUCGAUCUCUUAUGACUGUUUCCUCGCCUAACGGACUGCAGUCAGUGCAAUGUAAUUCAAAGAAGACAUCUCCGACAAAAGAUACUGGAACGCUUCCUCUUUGAAGGCACUCGAUAUGAAUUUUUCCAGCGCAAUCACCAUUGCAACGUAAAGCUGGUUUAGCGUACGGAUUACACUGAUUACCACACUUUUUACAAAGAUCCAUAUCCGGUGCAAUUUCGUUAACAUUAUCGUCCUGUUUCUCAUUAAUCCCUUCUUCUUCCGUUACUGUCGCCAUUCUAUUCAAAAUGAAUAUUCCAAUAUAAUUGAUUAUUUUUUAGGUUAUACUUUUAAAGAGAAAAGUUACAAAGUUACUCACGUGGAUAUCAUUUAUAUAAAAAGUGAAAAUAACGAAAGAAAUUUAUAUUUAUAAUGAUAAUUUAUUCAUAUUAAAUUCGAAAAGAUUGUCACGAGUAAUAUACACUGGCACGAACGUAAAUACAAUUCUCAAUUUGCCAUAACCACGUGUGCACGAGUAUCGCAUGUAAGAAGCCAUUUUCUUCUUCUACAUACAUUUCAAAUUAAUGAUUGCUAAAUACACAUGUUAGCAAAAUGUUUAUUAUAUAUAAUGGAUAAAUAUUAAAAUGCAAAAUAAUGUGCAAUAUGACUGGUAUUAUCGAUAAUGCUAUGCAAUAUCCGUAAUGUCAUAUAUAUGUGUGUGUGUAUGUGUGUAUAU
This is a long non-coding RNA of Vespa velutina, 3049 nucleotides long. RefSeq lists it as uncharacterized. The record is from RefSeq and is a predicted model, not a curated record. NCBI's taxonomy places the organism in Eukaryota, Metazoa, Arthropoda, Insecta, Hymenoptera, Vespidae. The transcript has 3 exons.